GGUUCCACAGUGUGGCAGUUAGCACGUCUGCUUUACAUUCAGAAAGUCCUGGGUUUGUUCCCCAGUGGAGCCA
Molecule: transfer RNA, 73 nt
Filed under: Pteropus alecto (black flying fox)
Lineage: Eukaryota; Metazoa; Chordata; Mammalia; Chiroptera; Pteropodidae
Rfam family: tRNA
About the family: Transfer RNA (tRNA) molecules are approximately 80 nucleotides in length. Their secondary structure includes four short double-helical elements and three loops (D, anti-codon, and T loops).
Source: Rfam by way of RNAcentral